UACGUAGGGUGCAAGCGUUAAUCGGAAUUACUGGGCGUAAAGCGUGCGCAGGCGGCUAUGCAAGACAGAUGUGAAAUCCCCGGGCUCAACCUGGGAACUGCAUUUGUGACUGCAUGGCUAGAGUACGGUAGAGGGGGAUGGAAUUCCGCGUGUAGCAGUGAAAUGCGUAGAGAUGUGGAGGAAUACCGAUGGCGAAGGCAGCCUCCUGGGCCAACACUGACGCUCAUGCACGAAAGCGUGGGGAGCAAACAGG
Molecule: ribosomal RNA, 253 nt
Filed under: uncultured bacterium
Lineage: Bacteria
Description: partial 16S ribosomal RNA
Rfam family: Bacterial small subunit ribosomal RNA
Source: RNAcentral